AUAACAUAUAGUCAUAUUCUGUUUUAAAAUUGUUCAGUUUUACAAGUUAUUACACCUCGAGUCAUACUGCCUAGGUACUUCUUUGUGAGCGGCAAAUCAAAAAACACUUAAAGAAAAUCUAAUGCGUAAUCUUUCACAAAAAAAAGACACUAAAAUUCAUAAUAAUGGAUUUUGAAUUUUCAAUGGAAAAUAAAACAAGCAUAGUGGUUAUCUCCUGCGCUAUCUCAAAUAGCUCAGAUCGCUUCAAAAUUCGAAAACUUGAGGGUAGACCUUUAUUGUUACCCCUCAACUAAGAGGUAAGACCUAUGAAGAAUCAAAGCUAUUGUAGCUAUUAAAGAGAUAAAAAGAAUAUUCAGAUGUAAAACGAAAAUACGAGAUACAUGUCUUGACCAGUUGAAUAAGAGUCUAAAUAUUACGAAAAACAAUCUAAUACACGGGAAUGAUAUUUGCAUCAAAAAGAUUCUUAUCAGUUAUGUCUAUAGAUAAAGAUUGAUGAAUAAUCUAUGUUCAUAUUGUCAUUUUGAUUAAAGUCGGAUGCAGUUUCAAGUUUAACUCCUGCUAAAUUUAAAUAGGUUUUUAGAAAUCCGAAGGUGCUAGAAAUAUAAUGAUGCCGAAAGAAUCUAACAAAAAAAAAAAUAAAUAAAUGCUCCAGUACAUUUAUUUUAUACUAAUAGUCAGUCAACUAAAGAUCUAAUAUUUAAUUUUCAAAUUGAUUUAAUUGAUU
Rhopalosiphum maidis (corn leaf aphid) is the source of this 724-nucleotide long non-coding RNA. RefSeq lists it as uncharacterized. The transcript is spliced from 4 exons. The record is from RefSeq and is a predicted model, not a curated record. Lineage: Eukaryota; Metazoa; Arthropoda; Insecta; Hemiptera; Aphididae.